AUAAGGAGUGUAAACAAACACCACCCAGUGUGGACUUUCAAGAUCAUCUAUCGACUAAACUAGCCAGUUAUCUCGAUACACUGUAGCUGGUGUAGUUAAAAAAUAAUGGAAGAUAGAAGCCUUCCUCGUAUUGUGGUCAUUGCACUGUCUGUGCUGAUUUACAUUUCUGCUUUAGCAAUUAAUGCCAUGGCAGGCGCUGGAAAAGGACCAUUCCAUUCGAGUACAGGGAACAUUUCCAAGAAGUAUGAAACCGACAUAACUCCGGCCGGAUGGACCUUUUCUAUCUGGGGGCUCAUCUACACCUGGUUGUCUCUCAUGCUCAUCUAUGUCAUCUCCUUCCUCUACAGAAGGAGCUGGACCCUCUUUGUGCUGCCGUACGGUUUCUACGUGUCCUGGAUAGUCAACAUGGCCUUCAACAUGACCUGGCUUGUCCUAUGGGUUCAAGAGCAGAUGACUGCUGCGUUGAUUGUACUGUGGAUCAUUGCUGUCACCAACUACUCUAUGAUCUUUUUCUCCUGCUAUGGGCUGAGUGUCUACGGAGCCUGGCUCAGCCAGAACCAACCUAGUGAUCUUUGGUGCAUCCGGGUGCUGAUUCCGUCUCUCGCAGUUGAAGUGUACCUAUGGUAAAAAUUACAGACCUCUACAUGCUUUGUGCAGAAUGGCAUUGCCCUGUAUACCACAUGGACAACCAUUGCCACUCUGAUCAACUUCACCCUGGUGUUGGACCUCUCUGGAGUGGCAAAUAGCACUGCAGCCACCGUGUCUCUUUGUAUCCUACUGGUGGAGGUGAUCGGAUGGUUUGGUAUUGAGAACUUCCUGCUGGAUCAGCAUGUGAGGUACAUCCUGACUAUUUACCCUGUGGUGAUCAUUGCUCUGGUUGGGAAUGUGUUCAAGCACUAUGAUCCUGCAGCACCAAGCGCAAACGCUAUCUUCAUGGUUUGUCUCUUGGUGGUUUCCUGUGUGCUCCUGGUGGUGCGAGUCGCCUUGGUGUUCAGGAGAAAUCGGAACCAGCCCCUGUACGCUGGCAUGAGCCUGGAGGCUCUGAUCUCGCCCAGCAGCCUGAACAAGAAUCAGAAUAAGAUAUUCAUGUAGAAGACUGGUACACACCACAAUACCAUCUUUUCACGAAGUGUCAAACCGUAAUAAUCUAUAACAUAACACAUUGCCUAUAUUAAACCAUACACAUUCAUUAUUCAGUUUGGACAAGAAACAGAUGAAGAUAUUCAUGUAGAAGACUGGUAGUCUUCUACAUAGUACGAUCUGUAAACGAUACGAAGUGUCAAAGCCUAUGCUUCCAUAUAAUAUAAUCCAUAACAUAUAAUCCUGUAUUACGCACACUGUAUUAAAAAACCUGUAUUCAUCCAAUCAUAACAUUCCACUACACUGUAAUGCAUAACACUUUCUAUGUUUAUAAUACAUGUAAUAAGAGAUAUUUGUACACUAAUCAAUGCACUGAAUAAUCAUACAAUUCCAGUGUAAGUAACACUUUUUUUUUUUACGUGAUUCUUACUAUUUUGUAUUGAUCUGAUACAUAAAAACAUUUUGCCUAUCCUGUUUUGACAAUGCUAUUUUCACUUGAUGAAACUAUUAGUCUACACACUGAGUAUGAGUAGAAAUAUGGAAUGCUAAAAUAAAAUGGGAUGUUAAUGUUUUAUUAUAUGGUUGAUGUGGGGUUACGACAUUUUUUUUUUCCUAUGAUUACAUACAGUUG
Long non-coding RNA from Oncorhynchus tshawytscha (Chinook salmon), 1711 nucleotides. NCBI's taxonomy places the organism in Eukaryota, Metazoa, Chordata, Actinopteri, Salmoniformes, Salmonidae. The record is from Ensembl.